AAGCUUUGCCAAAUGAACUUUCCCCUUUUAUCAUACAGCACAAGGUUGCCAUUGGGCAACAGUUUAAUGCCCGUGACGCCCUUGUUAGCAGUAUUGGUCUGCCACGCGACAGUGCCAUCAACGUCCGCGAGGACUAAGUUUCCAUCGCGGCCGAAGGAAAGAGUGGCAUUUUCUUUAACGGGGUGGUUGCGGUUGGCAUCCCAAACCCAGCGCAUUAGGUCUUCGUCGCGUGGGAGGCCGGCACGCAUGCCCAAGAUGAAUUCCCCUGGGGUGGUGUUGUAGAAACAUAGACUGAAUGGGAAUGCAAAGAAGUCGUUGGAAAUAACACGAUACCCUGCAUCGUAUUCGGUUAUGUAAUCUCCGAAUUCACCUUCGUUUAUGAUCUUGAAGGUUGCAUUAGCUGGCACUUGAGCUACAGUGCUAGCAGUGAAGAAGUAAAGAAUGAGAAGACUGCUUAAGCAGACUGAAAAUGAAAAGCUCCAAGAAGUCAUUUUGGGAUUCUUUUUGUGUAUAUAAUGCCAAUGGAGAGGAAAAGAAAAGGAUUGAGAUUUGUGGGACAAAAGUAGUCCCAUGUUUUGGUAUUUAUAGUUCUUCUCCAAGAAGUUUCAACUUUAUCGGAACCUAUUGGCGCGUUGAAAAGUCAAAUUGAAGGAUAAGAUUUGAAUAGUCAAUGUUGACAACUGCCAAGCGCAAGCCAGAUCACUUAGUUCUAUUAUACAUCCUCUACAGUUGUUGUCCGUAGACUCUGUACCUCCAAAGUGUGUAGAACGACGAAAUUUCUUCCGCAGCCCUAGUCAACAUAGAUACGGGGAACUAAAAUCUGAGUAUUUAAUUAGUGUUCAAUCUAACCUUGGUCUCUUUCUAGCUGAAUAGCUUGCCCCUUUGGCAAUUAAAUAGGGUGGGAUUGUACAUUUUGUCAACUAAUUAAAUAUGGCCCAAAAAACUAAGUAAGCUCGUCCUUAUUAGCUCAACAAGUUUCUAGAGAUGUUGAUUAAGAGUAGGGCUGUAAUCGAGUCGAGUCGAGCUCGAGUAUCGCGAUACUCGAGCUCGACUCGACAUACAGAUAGGGUGCUCGAGCGAGUAGUAUUAUUGAAUCUCAAGCUCGAGCUCGAAGCUUGCUCGCAAUACUCGAGCUCGACUCGUAUGGGCUCGAGUCCAUUCGAGUCUUAUCGAGCUCGAGUUAUUAAAUUUCAUUUUUUUGAUAAUUUUUGAGCGAAAAGACAUUAUUACCCUUUUAAAAUUUUUAUAUGAUUUGAAACAUUUCGUAAAUUCGAUAAUUCUUUUGGGUAUAAGGGUAAUUUUAUAAUAAUAAUAUAUUAAAUAAUUAAAAUUAAAAUAUUAAAUAAUUAAAAUUAAAAAUAUUAAAUAAUUAAAAUUAAAAUACUCGAUAAGGCUCGUCGAGCCUUCGAGCAUCACUUCUGGAUGCUCGAACUCGACUCGAUAACCUUAUCGAGCUGCUCGAAACUCGACUCGAACUCGGUUUGACCGAGUUCGAGUCAAGCUCUUGACCGAGCUGCUCGCGAGCUUACAUCCCUAAUUAAGAGCAUACAUAUAUAUUUAAUUACGACCUUCUCUCUUCAAAUCUUAUGAUCUCAGGGGUUGCAAUGUAAAUAAAAAUCUAGACGUGCAUGAGAGAAAAUUCAAUUCUCAUAAUGUCGAGUUCUCUUGACAUCCUAUUGCAUUAAGGUCUCUUUUUUUUUGGUUCUUUUUGGAUGCAUUUCUUUUGGAAGUUUAAUAUAUACAUCAUCCCAUUAUGUUCCCAUUCCUAUAUGCUUUUCUAGCAAACCAACGUACAAAAACUGCAAUGCAUAGUCUAAAUGGACCACCAAUGAGCUGUAAUAUAACAAGGAAAGGAGGAAAUAUUGAUUGAGCCUUGAGCACAACAAUUCAGAUGAGGACCGGGUCGGGCAACCGUGAAUGGUCUUUGAGAUCAAUUACGAUGACGAUAAAGAAAUGGGAUAAUGCAUGCAUGGACUCUGACUCUGGCCUGUCCCACUUAUCCACACCCUUGUUUCUGCAUACAUGAUUGACGGUGGCUUCUCAACGAUACCCUACUUACUACUAUCUGAUAUCUGCAUCAAAUGAUGAUGCUUUGCCCCCAACCCAAAUUUUAUUUCCACAGCAAAUGAUGACAAAAUUUUCCCUUUGAAGUACAAGUUGCAUUUCGACUUGAGAAUGACAGAUUUGACGUCUUAGAGAAAAUUAUUGUAGAAAUAAGAAUUGGAGUGUGACAUUAACAGCGGCGAAUUUCUCAGAAUAAUAUUGGUGUACGAAAACAUCACAAAAUAGUGUUUUGCAGGAUUUGUGUGUGAAAUAAUAUCGGCGCACAAAAAAAUCAAUUUAUUUUUGAAAUUUUUUUCAACAGCUUAAGAAAUUUUUAAUUUAAGAUUUUUGGUUGAAUAUUUUAUUUUAACCGCAGAUGGAUCCAUUUGAUCAACGGCUGGAAAAUUGAUCUGCGGCGAUUUGAUUUUUUUUUUUUUUUUUUGGGAAACUGCACAACUAAUGUGCGGCGGUUUGAAAUUUUUAUUAUUAUUUUUUAUUUUGUUUUGGAAACCGAACGUCUGAUGUACGGCAAGGAAAUACGUACACAAGGCAAGGCUUUCAGGGCAAUGCAGUGUAAGAAAAAUCAACAAAUUCAUGAUUCUGAGAAAAACCAAACCGUCAAAGUAUAGGAAAGCAACGGCAAGCAAAAUUGUGUGCUGCGAAGGUCAUAGCCCAAGGUAAGGUAAUUGGUUGUUUGGCGUAGCGUGGAAUUGUGGGGGCCGGGAAAUGACAUAUGUAUUGUAUUGUUGGCCUUUUCCUCAUUUUCUUUGUCAAAGAAAAUUGUCAGCCAUUCCUCAACGAUGGAUGAAUAAAGAAGGAAAAUGUCAGCAUCAUAAAAAAAUAAAAUAAAAAGUCUCUGAUUAUUGCAUAUAUAUUAAAACUGUGAAAUUAAGGAGGAGUCCAGAAUAUAGCGCUGUAACAUUAAUUGGCAUCUGCUAAUUAAAUUAACGUCUUUAAAUCCCAUUAAAGCUCCACGCUCAGUACUUAAAAUAUCAAACGUCAAAAAGAUUUGAGGCAUUGCUGAAAACGUUAAUACAAUCUCGAUCGGAAGAGAGGAGCGCUUGGAAACUUUUUAAAGUUAAUUACAUCUGAUAAGCAUAUGGCCACAUUAGACGGGCGUGGUAGGCGGUACACGUCUUCAAAAUGUCUGAAAAGGAGGGUGUUAACUGUUAAGUAGUUAGGCCUGGCCAUGAAGAGUUAGAUGCUUGUCUUUUGGUUUUUUUUUUUUUUUGAAGAAUUGGUCCGAUACUAGGGAAAGGGGAAGGGGAAGGGGAAAGGAGCUACAAUUGGUUAGAUGCUUGUCAUUUUUUAGGAAUUAAAAAAAAAAUUAAAGGUUGGUUGCACCUUCAAUCAACCGCGAUCCCUUUCUUAAAAAAAAAAAAGGCUUCGUCGCAACCAAAAAAAAAAAAAAUCUCUCCAUUUACCUCCUCAGCAACAAAAGAAAAAAAGGAAAUUUAAAAUAAUGUUUUAAUGAAGUCUCUUUUAUCAUUUGCGGCGACUCUUAAACUAGAAAUCAAUCCCAACCAACAUCACUUUUGUGAUAUUUUCUUGUUUUCACAAUAUACUCAGAAAUUCGCCAAUUAACAACAUGUCAUAUUUUAUAUAUAUAUAUAUAUAUAUAAGUAUGAUAUAUAGUAACCUCGUGAAUUUGUAAAUACUUUUUUUUCCUUUUUUAUUAAAUUAUACUAAGAGAUAUGAAUGAUAGUAUAAAUUUCGAUUAUAAAAAUUAGACUUGGCCUUACUCCAUCAUUUGUAUUAAAGAAGAAGAAGAAGAAGAGAGACACAUCCCGAGUGCUGCUAUAUAGCAUCAAUCAUGAACGACUUUAAGUGGCGGCGGACGUGGAGGCCGGAGGGGUCAUAAUUGAUGCAUCAAAGUAUAGCAGGUACGCGCAUUGAAGCUCUCAUAAUGAACCAAACCAAGCUCUCUUCUAAGGCUGAAACCCAAAUCUGAUGUCCACAGUCUGAUGAGUUUGUCGGCUGCAAGUAAACAUGAAGUGAUAUUUGUGUAACCAGUGAUCAACAGGAAAUCAUUCAUUAUAAGCAUGAUUUUAAAUGUUAUUUUCCUUAAAUAAAAAUCGGCAACGCCAUUUUGCUGCAGCUCUAUUUGGGGGGACUAUCCAAGAAGGAGAACCUGUAUUUAUUGGAGAAAAUUUCCUGAAAGUUAUGUUUAGGAGAGGCUAGUGCACUUCACAGAAAACAAACUCCCAGAUUUUAGAGAAUUGCUCAGUAGAAAUGAACAAUAAUGUUUAUAAACAUGAAACGUAGGUUUCCAGAAAACUAUUAAUGCGAAGAAAAAAAAAGGUUUUUGACAACUUUAACGGAGAAAAACAGCAAUAUCAUAUCUUGGAAGAGCAUUGCAAUUUUAAUUAGAUUCGUAUAGAAAAGCAUUAUUGAUCCAGAAAAUAGAAUAUAAAUAAGGCAUACAAGUACACAUGCAUGCGUUCCGGUUUAAUCUAUCAGAAGGGCCCUCAAAAAAAAAAACAAAAUACUAGUCUGGGCAGCAUGAAUUUAUAGUAAAUACACCAUCCAAGUCUUACAAUCAAAGUAGAACACAAUACAAUAUUAACCAUGGCCACCACCAAUGCAUUACGGCUUGGUGGGGUGGCCAAUUUGUCACAAUUAAAUGUGGUCUUGUUUAAAAAAUCCAGGCGGGUGCGUAGUGCACCCAUCUGGUCUGGUAAUGGUUCAAUCCCCUCCGAAUUACCCCAAAACCUCUUCAGGCCCUUUCCUCCCCAUAGUGUAGGAAGCUAUCGUAUAGACAAAAAAAAAAAAAAAAAAAAAAACAAAGAACACGAUACAAUAUUGCAAAAGCUCAACAUGAAGCUUCUUUCUUCAGGCACAUAAAACUCCCAUAAAUCAUACUUCCUCUACAAAACCAUGCUAACAAUAAUUUAAACCAUGUUUUGACGUUUAAUAGAUUUUUCUUCUUUUUAAGGUAAAGUUUUUCAUAAACUCAAUAUUUGACGUAUGCACUAGUGGUGUUGACAUCUUUAACGAGAGUCAAAAGCACUGGCACAAGCAAACACUUUGAAGUAUCUUGCUUGUAGACAUAUCCUUUGCAAUUGCGAUCAUUGGUGCACUUGUCUCUGCCUAUGUUUUCAGAAUCGGACCGGAUAUCGACUCGCUCGAGCUCAGGGGUCAGGGGUCAAUGGGUUCAACCGGGUUCGAUAGGGGUUCAACCGGAUGACGUCAUAAAUAAAAUUUAUUUAAAAAUUAAAAUAUUAUAUGUAAAAUACUUAAUAACAUGUUAAUAUUAAUAAAGGUAUAUUCAUAUAUAUUUGAUGUUUCAAAUAUAUUUAAUAAGAAUAUACAAAUAAAUUAGAGCAAUCAAGUAGCAAUUUAUAUUAUUGAAUAAGCAUUAACAAGUUUAGAAUUAAAAUUAUGGAUUUAAUUGAAAAAUAACACCAAACUUUAAGACAACAUUUAUAAAGUAUGAAAUAUUUAAGAUAUGUUAAUAAUUUUUAACAACUUAAGGAUCAAAACAUCAUAUUAAAAAUAUUCUGCCCUUUCAAAAAAAAAAAAAAAAAAGAGACCGGGUUCAUUUUUCCGGUAGGUCAAACCCGGGAGUUGUUGAUUUCCCGGUUUUUAAGAUUAACUCGGACCGGUCAACUGGCCGGUUCCCGGUUCGACCGGUCGAACCGGCCGGUCCGGCCCGAGUUUGAAAACAGAGGUCUCUGCAUGCUCCAAAUUCCAUCACAACUUCUUGACUAUCCGGAGACCACUGGUGAUUCAAGAAAGAUUGCACCCCAUCGAGCUUGUAAUAUGUUGCCUUAGGUUUCUUCCCACACGAGCUCAACUUUGGUGGUUGACAGUUUUCUGUCCAUGCCAAGAGCCCUUUUGGUGUAGGACAUGCCACACACAUCCCAUUUUGGCACAAGCCAAAAUUACCACACUUUGAUGGCAAAGCACAUUUUUCUGUUUCAAAAUUAUGCUCCGAAAGAAAGUGUAGGUCUCCAUCCAUCUAUCAAAUCUGACUUUGUCAUAGUAGGUAUAAGCCUUCACAUUGCCAUCAGAUUCAAUCCUCAGAAAAGAGUAUGUUGCAUUGUAAUUUAUUGUACUGAGCUCUUGAGCUGCAUGGGUUUUCACAAAAGUCCAUUCCUAUUAAGUGGCAUAUCAUAUCCCUCGUCAUUGUGACUGUGGAAUCCUAACCAAAGAACUGCUUAAUAAUUCUAACAAUUUCUGACAGCCCCAACAAAGCUAUGUACCUAGGCCAUCUUUAAAUGGGCUUAGCGGGUUUUAGUUAAAUGGAUCCGCAGCCUCACAAGUUUCAUUUAAAUUCAUUUCGCAGUUUUUUUUUUUUUUUUUUGAUAAGCGGGAAGUUUCGAAAUUUCUCAUUUACAUUUUUUUUCUCCUACCACCAACCCAUCUCUUUCCCCCUCCAUGUUAGAGUAAAAUGGUCUUUUUAACUUGAGGUAUCCAACUUUGGUUUGAGGAAAGGAAAAUGAAUGGUUUAUAAACUUGGACUCAUUGGCUACUCAGUAAUUUAGAUUAACCAUUUUAGACUAGUGGAUUAAAGCCAAAAGUUACUUGAGCCGGUCCUUGAACUCUGGUCAUGACACAACUUUUGUUACACCAUAUUUUAAUUUAAUCACAUCAUAUAUGCAACUUAAUGUAGGUUUGCAAAAAAUUAUUAUAGGAAAUAACGUUUUUUAUCAACUUUAAUUGAGAAAAAUGAGAAUAUCAUGUGUAGGAAGAGCUGCAAUGCUCCAUUCGUAUAGAAAAGCAUUAUUGACCUAGAAAAUGUUAGAUAAGACAUAUAAGUAGACAUGCGUGCGUUCCGGUUUAAUCUAUCAAAAGGGCCCUCAUAGAAUAAGAAAAGAAAAGCAAAAUACCAAUCUGGGCUGCUUGGAUUUAUUGUAAAUACGAUACAAGUCUUACGAUCAAACCAGAAGAACCAUAAUUAAUACAAUAUUGCAGAAGCUCAACAAGAAGCUUCUUUAUUCAGUACAUAAAACUCUCAAAUCAUACUUAAUGCUAUGCUAACAAUUAUUCAAACCAAGUUUUAACUUUUAAGUGUUUUUUUUCCUUAAGUUAAGGCUUUCCAUAAAAUCAAUAUUUGACAUAUGCACUAGUGGUGUUGACGUCUUUGACGAGAGUCAAAAGCACCGGCAUAAGCAAGCACUUUGAACUAUCUUGCUUGUAGACAAAUCCUUUGCAAUUGCAAUCAUUGGUGCACUUGUCUCUACAUGCUUCAAAUUCCAUCACAACUUCUUGACUAUCCGGAGACCACUGGUGAUUCAAGAAAGAUUGCACCCCAUCGAGCUUGUAAUAUGUUGCCUUAGGUUUCUUCCCACACGAGCCCAACGUUGGUGGUUGACAAUUUUCUGUCCAUGCCAAGAGCCCUUUUGGUGUAGGACAUGCCACACACAUCCCAUUUUGGCACAAUCCAAAAUUACCACAUUUUGUUGGCAAAGCACAUUCUGUUGCCAAAUUACUUGGAAAGAAACUAUAGGUCUGCAUCCAUCUAUCAAAUCUGACUUUGUCAUUGUAAGUAUAAGCCUUGACAUUGCCAUCAGUUUCAAGCCUCAGAAAAGAGUACGUUGCAUUGUAAUUUAUUUUACUGAGUUGUUGAAUCCCAUCAACCUGUGGUUUUGGCGCUGGCGAUUCGAAUAUUUCAAAGAUAAGGUUCCAAGCUAUUGGAGUAGGCUCCCACGUCGAAGGUUGGGUGUUAAACCUUACAGUACUGCCAAAAUUCCCCGGCCAACCAUUGUAGCGAACUUGUUGGCCAGCGUUGUUUAGAUACAAGAGGAGGCCAUCAUCUCCAAGCACUAAGCUGUACUUUCCAUCGGAGCCAUCAACAUCAGAAGUUCGACUGACAAGCUUGUUUACGCCACUCUCGCGAAGGGACUGCCCAACUAGUAACGAAUCAACUGGAUAAUCAAAGCUUUGCCAAAUGAACUUUCCCUUUGUAUCAUACAGCACAAGGUUGCCAUUCUGGAGUAAUUUGAUGCCCGUGACACCCUUGUUAGCAGUGUUGGUUUGCCACACUAGGCUGCCGUCAGAGUCGGCUAGGACCAGGUUUCCAUCCCGGCCGAAAGAAAGGGUGGCGUUUUCUUUCACGGGGUGGUUGCGGUUGGCAUCCCAAACCCACCGCAUUAGGCCCUCGUCAUCUGGGAUGCCAACACGAAUGCCAAGCACGAAAGAAGCUGGGGUGGUGUUGUAGAAACACAGUCUGAAGGGGAAUGUGUAGAAAUCAUAGACAUCAUUGGUUAUGAUGCGAUAAGUUGCCCCAUAUUCAGCUGUGGGUACGAAAUUUUGGAAUUCUCCCAGUGGACCUGUGUUGACAAUUUUGAAGGUAUUGUUUGUUGGCACUUGAGCUCUGGUGCUAAUGGCCAAGAAACAGAGGAGGAGGAGAAUGCUAAGACAGGGUGAAAAUGGAAAGGUACGACGAGCCAUUGGAAUUCUUUUUGUGCAAUAAGGAAUAAAGGGCAAGCUAAUCAGUUGGAAAUGGAAUGAGAGAUAUGAAGUGGGUUGUAACCAUUUGGUAUUUAUAGAUUUUUUUUAUUGGCUUUUCUCAGGGAGUUGGUUUGUGGAUAGGAAAAUCAACUCGACGGUUUUUCUAGUUUUUCUGCAUACAAUUGUUGAAAUUUGAAAACUGAUUAAAAAAAUAUUGAAAUUUGAAAUUUGAAUUUCAACGUCAAAGUUGGUAACCUGCAAACAAGAUUGAGCAUCCAUCUAGUAACAUAGUAUUAUAUAAUUUUGUUCUAUGUCGUAGUGGUUGUCAAAUGAUUAUAUAAUGUACAACACAAUUUUUUAUAAGGGAAAACGAAACAAAUAAUCCCUUACAUAUUACUUAUUUAACCAUUCACUUACAUAAAAAUGCAAAUUCAUACUUUAAAUAUAUAAGGGAUAAUUUCAGAAACCUCCCCUGAGGUUUCUAAUAAUUUCACAAAGCUCCCCUUAAUAUUUCAAAAUUACACAUACCUCCCCUAUUGCUGUAAAAGUACUCUACUACCCCUAUAUAGGAUACUUAAUGACUUUUUCUUUUUGGAAAUUUCAGAAAUUUCAAGAAAAACUAAAAUUGACUUAUCUCUCUCUCUCUCUCUCUCUCUCUCUCUCUCUCUCUCUCUCUCUCUCUCUCUCUCUCUCUCUCUCUUUUCUACCUUAAUGUGUCUUCCAUUUCCUUUUUUGCUAAAUUCCUACCACUCAUUCCUCUCUACCUAAUAUUUUUCCUCCAAUUCAUGACCAAAUUCUAUCUAUUAUCCCUUGCCCAUAUUUAUCCCCCUCAUUGCCUUCUUCUUCUUCUUCUUCUAUCUCUAUUCAAUCUCUUUUUUGCAAAUAUGAUCAAGUUCAUCCUUUUUAUCCUUUUAAUUCUAAGUGUAAUGGGUUUGAUUUUUUUGAGUCUAUUUAUUUUAUCCAAUGUUGGUUGAUUAUGGGUGAUAAAACUUAGUGAUGUCAAAAGUCAAGAAUUUGAGGGAUGGAUGUGCUUUAGAAAUGGGUUGUUGAAAAAAAAAAGAGGCUGCAAAAAGAGAAAGACGAAAGAUCUGUGCUAUUGAUUGUGGAUGAAGUGUUAGUUUUGGGUAAAAGUUUGAGAUUGAGUUUUAUCCAAUUUAGCACCAAGUGACGGAUUUAAUUAAAUUGUGUAGUAAAUGUAGGGGUUGGGGUUAUUGGACAUAAAUUAGGUUAUAGUGUUUUGAGUGCUAGAAUUAUUGAAAUUUAUUUUGAUUUAAAUUGGGGUGUUUGCUUGGCUUUUGGGGUGGAGUUGUUUGGAAGAAGGCAAUCAUCAUAGUUGAAUUUUUUUCCUAACUUUUAUUUUUGGUAGAAAGAGUUUGUUGGCUUUGGUGUUGGAAGAAAAGCAAUCAACAAAGCUCUUUUAUUUUUCCUUUUUAUCUUUUUGACAAAAAGGAUAGUUUAGGAUAUUUGAAGGAAUUGGUAGCCUAUUGGACCUAUUUUGAAGCAUAAAUAGUGAAAGCAAGGGAGGUGUGUGUAAUUUUUGAAACCUAAGGGGAGCUUCUUGAAAUUGUUAGAGACCUCAAGGGAGGUUUCUGAAAUUAUCCCAAUAUAUAAAUUGCAUCAUGUUUGUCUGAAAAUUCAUUUUAGGAGAUUUUUUUUUUACCUGAAAACGCCAUGUGGCUACCAAAUGAUAAUAUUUCAAAGAUAAAAAAGACAUUACAUACUCAUGAUUUAUCCAUUUUUUUUCUUUUUUUUCCUCCUCUGUUUUUGCUUCACCAACAUUCAAACAGCAAAUCCUAGAUCCGCCACCAUAGUCCGCAAUUUCCAGAUAACAAACACUAUCAAAUAUUGUUUAAUAUCCAGAAAUCUCAGUUUUUAUUAUAGUGUCAUUUUUCUUUCACAAACAUCUUAUUCUACUUCUUUUUUAUUUCCUUAAGUUCCAAUAACUACUAACAUUGUAAAACACAAAUUUAAACAUACCAAAAAAAAAUAUCACUAAAAAAAUGAGAUUUUUAUGAAUUUUUUGUUGUACUUUUUGUUUUUCUAUUAUAUUAUACUUUUUUAAUAUGUUGAAUUUUGUGUUUUACCCUUUAGUAGUCAUUGAAACUUUAGGAAAUAAAAUAAAAUAUUUGUAAAGGAGGAAUGACAAAAUAAUUAAAGAUGUGACAUACGAUAAGAGAGGUAGGAUACAGUGGGUCAUAAUAUGCAAAAAAAUGGCAAGUAUUAAGCUACUAAAAAUAAAUGGUAGAAAGAGAAAGUCCACUUUUGGAAGUUUGAAGUCAAUAUAGCAGCUGAGUCGGAAAAAAAAAAAAAAAAAGUCAAUAUAGCAGCCUGUAGAUGUGCUGUAAUCCCCUUAGAACCGGGCUCCGUGUCGUCUUCACCCUUCACUAAUUAGCAACUUGGGCACAUUGCAGACAAAUCUUUCCUCUUUGCCUUUGGGGUUAGAAGAUGGGAAAACACGUCUGCUUCUUCUAUACUUCUGGGCUGUAACGCAGCAGCAUUUAGCAACUGUAAUGAAGUUAAUAAAGUUUAACAAAAGGAUAACAUCAAGGUUUUAGACAAAUUAUCCUAGAUUCAAACCUUCCAGUUGCCUUAACCAUAAAGGACUUUUACAUCUUUGGCUCCCGGUUUGAGUGCGCUAGGCUCAAAGAUUGGCGAAGAACGUUUGGCACGGUUAAAUUGAAAACCAGCAUUAAAUGCUGACAGUCCAUUUUGUAUCCAUUCCAUUUUUUUUUGUUGGAUCCAUUUUGGUUCGCUUUUGCAUGGGUGCAAUCUGUAGCUAUAGAUGCUGAUGCAGAUCAGCAGAUGGAUGCUUCCAGUUCCAUAUUGGAUGAAUUGUGAUCAAAGUAUUAAUAUAUCCUUAUGGCUUUGUUUCAUGUUUACCUGCUUGGCAAUGAGAAAAGCCAUGCACGGCUUUCUUUAUUUGUUGAGAGAUUGAUCACAUCAAAACCAAGAGAUUGAUCACCUCAAACCGCGCAUGAUUUUUAAUUUAUCAAGUCAGUCAGGAAUUGUGUGGUAGCUUUGUGGGCUGGGAAAGUGGGAAUGCGCCAGAAUUUGAAGAUUGGUUGUGGUCCUGUGGAGUGGACCUGCGCGCAUCGCUAGCUUUGAGUGAUUGGAAAAGGCGGGCGAAUGGAUAAAUAUUGAAUACAUGCAUGCAUGCUAUAAAGUCAUUAGCAAUCAAUGUCAAAUAGUCCUUGCAGAAGACUUGUGGGUUCCUCUCUGAUGUCUUGGACCAUUUCGAUAUGUGUUCUUUGAACAUAAUUGUGUGCUUAUCAUUAAUGGCAUGUAUAAUCUUUCUUUCCUGUCUCUUUUUGUUCUGCGCGCAAGAAUGAUCAACGUCGACAAGUUUGCUUGCGGUUGGUUGUUAGAUGCACGAUUUUGAUUUACUUAUUUAUUUUUGGUAAAUAAAAGUUUGAUUUUAAAGGAGAGGAACAUAGUUCAGGCUAAGGCUCUGUUUGGUAUGAUGUAAAGUAUUUUCCUUAAGAAAAUAUUUUCCAUGGAAGUUAUUUUCUGGGAAAAUAUUCACAUUUUUCAAUAUUUUCUGAUGUUUGGUUGAAAUUUUUAACUACAUUUUUAUUAUCAAAAUUCAACUCCUUCCGCCGCCCGCUUUUCUCUUUCAUCACUGGAAACCGAUCUUCCAAGUUCCUAUCACUAAAAAUAGCAGAACCGCUCAAAAUGGAAGAAUCCAGGUCAAGCAUAAGGACAAUUCAUUGACUCGUAAUUAUUGGCGCCAUAAAAGACAUUACCAAGCUAGACAUAUCAAGACCAUGAAAUGACCGGUGAUUAAGGUCAAUCAAUGAAAGUGAAAGAACAGGCAUAAAUAUCUUCUCAAGUUGAAGAAAUAGGCUCUGUUCUUUUUCGUAUGAUUAGUGCUCUUAUUGACUCGUAUAUGAAAUUUGGUUUAAGGAUCAUAUACCAGCGAUCAAACCACAACCUCAAAGGCAUUAAAACCAAGACAAAUUUGAGCUAAAGAUAUGUAAUUUUGAUUAAGAAAACACUGCAAAGAAAAUUAAAAUGACUGAAGAAAGGCAAUGAGAAUUGAUAAUAAUCCAAAUUGUUAACAAAUUCGUAGUGUUUGCGUCACCGGUAAAUUCAUCAGCAUCAAAGACACGAUGUCAAAGAGAUCGGAGUCAGUAGGGUGAGGCCUUUUUUUUAUUUUGAAUAUACUACAAGCUUUGAAAGUUUAUCAAAUACCUUUAAUAAGCGGGAUGCAUGCAUUUAUAAAAACAAUUUCGGUAAGUCCGGAAGGGAAGUUAUUUUCCACAAGAUAAGCAAAAAUCUUUUACACAGUAAAAUAUUUUCAUUAGUUUUUGUGCAACCAAACACGGAAAAUUAGGAAAAUAUUUUCACUUGAAACAAAUGGACCCGAAAUGAUACUCAUAUACAAUUUUUGUUUAAAACCUUUUUGGAUGAAUCAAUGGGUAUGAAAAGCCGAAUCUGAGGGUUUCAUCAUUAGCUAUUUUGCUAGUUAUUCAACUUGAUUAUCCCUUUAUCCUAAUUUUUUUAUGAAACAAAAUCAAAACAGAAGCAAAAAAAAAUUAGUAAAUAAAUUAAAGGGACACGUAUCUCUCUCACCACCUUCUGUUCCCCUUCCCUUUGUCCCCUCAAAAUCGCCUCAAAGCUAUGUACCUAGUCCGUCUCUAUAUGGGUUAAGCCGGCUUCACUUUAAAUGGAUUUGUGGCCACACAAGUUUCAUUUCAUUCCAUUUCGGAAUAAAAUGAUCUUUUUUAACUUUUGUUAUAGAACCAUAUUUUAAUGCAAUCGGAUCAUAUCUAAUCUUUAAUUAUAUUAUCUUUCCAGCUAAAGGAUAAACUUGUGAGAAAUAGAAUUUGUGAGAGGACUCGUCGUUUAAUUAAAUUUGGCAAGACCAACUUGUGCAGUGAUAUUUGGGAGGAUGAUCCAAGAAAGAGAAUAUAUUAUUAAAGAUAUUUCUAUGAAAGAUACGUUAGGAGAGGCAAGUGUUACCUUUACACAAAAUGAAGUCCCAGAUUUUAAAAAAUUGCUCAGCAAAAACGAACUAAAAUAUUCAUAAACAUGCAAGAUAAUGUAAGUUUGCAGAAAAUUAUAAAGGAAAAGAUGUUUUUUUGUCAGCUUUAAUUGAGAAAAAUAAGAAUAUCAUAUGUAGGAAGAGCUACAAUGCUCGAUUCUAUUAGACAAGCAUUAUUGAUCUAGAAAAUGCUGGACAAGACAUAAAAGUAGGCAUGGGUGCAUUCCGGCUCAAUCUAUCAAAAGGGCCCUCACAGAACAAGGAAAGAAAAAGCAAAAUACCAAUCUGGGCAGCUUGGAUUUAUUGCAAACAGGAUACAAGGCUUACGAUCAAACCAGAGGAGCCAUAAUCAAUACAAUAUUGCAGAAGCUCAACACGAAGCUUCUUUACUCGGUGCAUAAAACUCUCAAAUCAUACUUAAUGCUAUGCUCACAAUUACCCAAACCAAGUUUUAACUUUUAACAGUUUUAUUUUUUUUUUCCUCUUAAGUUAAGGAUUUCCACAAAAUCAAUACUUGACAUAUGCACUAGUGGUGUUGACAUCUUUGGCGAGAGUCAAAAGCACCGGCAUAAGCAAGCACUUCGAAGUGUCUUGCUUGUAGACAAAUCCCUUGCAAUUGCAAUCAUUGGUGCACUUGUCUCUGCAUGCUCCAAAUUCCAUUUCGACUUCUUGACUAUCAGAAGACCACUGGUGGUUCAAGAAGGAUUGCACCCCAUCAAGCUUGAAAUAUUUUGCCUUUGGUUUCUUCCCACACGAGCCCAACUUUGGUGGUUGACAAUUUUCUGUCCAUCCCAAGAGCCCUUUUGGUGUAGGACAUGCCACACACAUCCCAUUUUGGCACAAUCCAAAAUUACCACAUUUUGUCGGCAAAGCACAUGCUGUUGCAAGAUCACUUGGAAAGAAAGUAUAGGUCUGCAUCCAUCUAUCAAAUCUGACUUUGUCAUAGUAAGUAUAAGCCUUGACAUUGCCAUCAGUUUCAAGCCUCAGAAAAGAGUACGUUGCAUUGUAAUUUAUUUUACUGAGUUGUUGAAUCCCAUCAACCUGUGGUUUUGGUGCUGGCGAUUCGAAUAUUUCAAAGAUAAGGUUCCAAGCUAUUGGAGUAGGCUCCCACGUCGAAGGUUGGGUGUUAAACCUUACGGUACUUCCAAAAUUCCCCGGCCAACCAUUGUAGCGAACUUGUUGGCCAGCGUUGUUUAGAUACAAGAGGAGGCCAUCAUCUCCAAGCACUAAGCUGUACUUUCCAUCGGAGCCAUCAACAUCAGAAGUUCGACUGACAAGCUUGUUUACGCCACUCUCGCGAAGGGACUGCCCAACUAGUAACGAAUCAACUGGAUAAUCAAAGCUUUGCCAAAUGAACUUUCCCUUUUUAUCAUACAGCACAAGGUUGCCAUUCUGGAGUAAUUUGAUGCCCGUGACACCCUUGUUAGCCGUGUUGGUUUGCCACACUAGGCUGCCGUCAGAGUCGGCUAGGACCAAGUUUCCAUCCCGGCCGAAAGAAAGGGCGGCGUUUUCUUUCACGGGGUGGUUGCGGUUGGCGUCCCAAACCCAUCGCAUUAGGCCAUUGUCAUCUGGGAUGCCAGCACGAAUGCCAAGCACGAAAGAAGUUGGGGUGGUGUUGUAGAAACACAGUCUGAAGGGGAAUGUGUAGAAAUCAUAGACAUCAUUGGUUAUGAUGCGAUAAGUUGCCCCAUAUUCAGCUGUGGGUACGAAAUUUUGGAAUUCUCCCAGUGGACCUGUGUUGACAAUUUUGAAGGUAUUGUUUGUUGGCACUUGAGCUCUGGUGCUAAUGGCCAAGAAACAGAGGAGGAGGAGGAGAAUGUUAAGACAGGGUGAAAAUGGAAAGAUACGACGAGCCAUUGGAAUUCUUUUUGUGUAAUAAGGAAUAAAUUGGAAAUGGAAUGAGAGAUACCGACAGGGUUGUAACCGUUUGGUAUUUAUAGAUUUUUUUAAGCUCUGCUUUUCACAAGAAGUUUUUU
RNAcentral lists this long non-coding RNA (15399 nucleotides) under Coffea arabica (coffee). RNAcentral describes it as "long non-coding RNA (CARA_LNC003585)". The record is from RNAcentral. Lineage: Eukaryota; Viridiplantae; Streptophyta; Magnoliopsida; Gentianales; Rubiaceae.